Long non-coding RNA from Nanorana parkeri, 221 nucleotides. RefSeq lists it as uncharacterized. The record is from RefSeq and is a predicted model, not a curated record. Lineage: Eukaryota; Metazoa; Chordata; Amphibia; Anura; Dicroglossidae. The transcript has 3 exons.
UUGAAUGUAAUGACUAUGACAGUGAUGGAUCACAUGACCUCAUCGGAAUCUUCCAGACCACCAUGUCUAAGCUAAAGGAAGCAAGUCGUUCAAUGCCAGUGGAAUUUGACUGCAUAAAUGAAAAGAAGAGACAGAAGAAGAAAAAUUACAGGAAUUCUGGGGUCGUGAGUGUGAAACAUUGCCAAAUCACAAGGGAAUACACUUUUCUGGAUUAUAUAAUG